AUUCAUCUUCAAAUGUAUGUAUGUAUCUCUCUAACCAUAAAACUCCACCCAAUAACGGAACUAAUUGUUAUUGUUAGUGCGCAUUAAAAUAUACCCAUUUUAAAAAUGAUUUAUUUUUAAAAGAAAUAAGUAAUCGAGUCGAAACUUCAUUAUUUAUCAAUAUUAAAGAAAAAAUAUUAAACAAGUUACAUCUUUUUGUAUCAAUAUAGAUUACAUGUAAGUUGUUACAAGUGCGCAAUAACGUGCACUAUAUUUCUACAGUCGAUAGAAGAUAACUGGCAAUUGUUACAAUGCGCAAUAACUGUGACGAUAUUUCUACAGUCGAUACAUUUGUUUUCCUAGUUUAAAUUUAUUUUUAGGGCUAUGUUCGUUGUUACCCCAAUUGAUACAUACAAAUAGUUUCGAAUUUUAAAAAAGAAUGUAUAUAAUAAUAAAAACACAUCAAUUUGAAAAAAAUACACAUUUGACCAAUAGGAAUAAAGUAAAUUCUAAUUGUGCAAUCAAAUUACAGUUACUAAUUUUAUUUAAAUUAUUCAGUAAUCUAUUCAUAUAACGCCCCAUUUCUGUAACGUUCUGGAACAAAAGUUGUUAGUGAUAAUUGUUCAUUACUUUAUUCUGACUUCUAACGAAGACACUAUUUUUAUUAGCGCCAUUUUUUGAUCUAAAUUUGCGAUGGCUACUGGACUAGCUGGAAAAACGAAAAGUGGCCGAAGUGUGAUGUUUAGUCAUCGACAGAACUGUAUUCUAGUUGAAGUGGUCAUCGAACAUUACGAUAUUAUUAUCGGAUAUCAAGCAAAAUCUGUCAACCCUCAAAGAAAAAAGGCUAUUUGGGAACAAAUUAGUCGUGCUGUGUCAGCAGAGGGUAGUUUUCCGAAAGACGUCAGGGCCUGUCGGAAGCGGGUGAAUGAUAUUCGUAAGAAUAUUAAAAGAAAAGUAUGCAAGGAAAAGCAGUUAUCAAAAGGAACUGGUGGAGGCCCCGCAUAUAGGGCUGAACUGCUUGACUACGAACAGAUGCUGUAUGCCAGGAUGGGGGAUGCUGUCGUGGUGGGACUUGAUGUACCAUCAGAUACCAUGGAUUUUCGAGGUAAAUAUCUAAUUGAUUGCUAUUAAACGAAUAGUAUAAUAUAUUCUUAACUUAUAUUUCAAGAUUCAGACAGAGCAUACCCUGUUAAUAAUUUUUUUAUAUGAAUAUUUUUUAUUUUUUUUAUUUUAAUAUGUAUUGAACAAAGUAUGCUUGUAAGCUUGGAAGCAGGACCAUUUUUGGAUGAGGACCUGGAUACCGCUUGUUAAUUGGCUGGCUACAUUUAAAAAGAAACCAAUCAGCAAGCGCUAAACAGGUGUCACACCCAAAAAUGGCCACGCUUCUAAACUUAGAUUUUUUGUUUGGGAAAUGAGAGAUAAUCCAAAAAGAAGAAAAUAUAAAAAUUUUAAUAGUAUUGAAUUAUAAACAUUUUUUGAAAUUCAAUGCUCUAUCAGAAUAAUGAAAUAAUAAUUUACACUACACUAUUUCUUUAACAUGUAUUUUGUAUAUUCAUUUUCUCAAUAUUUAAUUUUAAUUAAAUUUUAAUUUGUUUAUAUCUACUAUAGAAGAACAUGAACAGGCAUUAGAAAAUGAAUUAGAAAAUGCCCAGGUGGACCUACCAUCCGAGUCUGAGUUGACUAGUGAACAACCCACAACAUCUUCAUGUGGUAUACCAUGCAGGGAAGAAACUACCAGUGUCAUGGGAUUACUACAAACUAUGCAAGAUUCGUCAAUUACAUUAUUUGAUGAUGAAAUAGAAAUCACAUUACAACCACUUGUGACUGACACAGUUUGUCAGGAGGAUGAUGAUGAUGAGACACAAAUAGAGGGACAAACAUCAACACAAGUUGAAACACCACAUGUAGAGGAAUCAGAAUGUGAGGAAGAGAUUGAGG
Bombina bombina (fire-bellied toad) is the source of this 1917-nucleotide long non-coding RNA. RefSeq lists it as uncharacterized. The record is from RefSeq and is a predicted model, not a curated record. NCBI's taxonomy places the organism in Eukaryota, Metazoa, Chordata, Amphibia, Anura, Bombinatoridae. The transcript has 3 exons.